AUUUGGAGAGGAUGUUUCUGGCGCGGCGCCCUCCGAGUUCCUUGGAACAGGACGCCAUAGAGGGUGAGAGCCCCGUACCGGCGGAUGCCUAGCCUUUGUGAAACUCCUUCGACGAGUCGAGUAGUUUGGGAAUGCUGCUCAAAAUGGGAGGUAAAUUUCUUCUAAAGCUAAAUAUUGGCCAGAGACCGAUAGCGCACAAGUAGAGUGAUCGAAAGAUGAAAAGCACUUUGAAAAGAGGGUUAAAAAGUACGUGAAAUUGUUGAAAGGGAAGCGCCUAUGACCAGACUUGCGGCCUACGGACCAUCCGGUGUUCUCACCGGUGCACUCCGUGGGUUGCAGGCCAGCAUCGGUUUUCCUAGGGGGAUAAAGGCCGCAGGAACGUAGCUCUUUCGGGAGUGUUAUAGCCUGUGGUGUCAUGCCUCUGGGGAGACCGAGG
Molecule: ribosomal RNA, 436 nt
Filed under: Ophiostoma sp. 2 AE-2016
Lineage: Eukaryota; Fungi; Ascomycota; Sordariomycetes; Ophiostomatales; Ophiostomataceae
Description: eukaryotic LSU rRNA
Rfam family: Eukaryotic large subunit ribosomal RNA
Source: RNAcentral